UGGUGUGGAUAAUUAUUGGGCCUAAAGCAUCCGUAGCCGGCUAAGCAAGUUCCCUGUUAAACCCACCGAUUUAAUCGUUGGAUUGCGGGGAAUACUGCUCAGCUAGGGGGCGGGAGAGGCCGACGGUAUUUCCGGGGUAGGGGUGAAAUCCUAUAAUCCCGGGAGGACCACCAGUGGCGAAG
This 182-nucleotide ribosomal RNA is filed under the name Candidatus Bathyarchaeota archaeon. RNAcentral's name for it is "partial 16S ribosomal RNA". It matches the Rfam family "Archaeal small subunit ribosomal RNA", at positions 489 to 671 of the family's 1478-position model. The record is from RNAcentral. Lineage: Archaea; Thermoproteati; Candidatus Bathyarchaeota.